AGUGAACGCUGGCGGUAGGCCUAACACAUGCAAGUCGAACGGCAGCACAGUAAGAGCUUGCUCUUACGGGUGGCGAGUGGCGGACGGGUGAGGAAUACAUCGGAAUCUACUUUUUCGUGGGGGAUAACGUAGGGAAACUUACGCUAAUACCGCAUACGACCUACGGGUGAAAGCAGGGGAUCUUCGGACCUUGCGCGAUUGAAUGAGCCGAUGUCGGAUUAGCUAGUUGGCAGGGUAAAGGCCCACCAAGGCGACGAUCUGUAGCUGGUCUGAGAGGAUGAUCAGCCACACUGGAACUGAGACACGGUCCAGACUCCUACGGGAGGCAGCAGUGGGGAAUAUUGGACAAUGGGCGCAAGCCUGAUCCAGCCAUACCGCGUGGGUGAAGAAGGCCUUCGGGUUGUAAAGCCCUUUUGUUGGGAAAGAAAAGCAGCAGGUUAAUACCCCGCUGUUCUGACGGUACCCAAAGAAUAAGCACCGGCUAACUUCGUG
RNAcentral lists this ribosomal RNA (492 nucleotides) under uncultured bacterium. Its description in RNAcentral is "partial 16S ribosomal RNA". It matches the Rfam family "Bacterial small subunit ribosomal RNA", at positions 29 to 507 of the family's 1533-position model. The record is from RNAcentral.